AGCAAAUUCAUAUAUAUAUAUAAAUAUAUAUAUAAGAGCCGUUAGAUUAAAACAAGAUCAUGGUUAGGAUUAAAACUUCUUCAUAUGGCUCAUUCGCUCACCUGCUCGUAAGACAUAACACUACUCACUCUCUCUCUCUUCAGACUACCUUUCUCUCUCUUCGUUUCACACCAAUUUUGAAGAAUUUAAUUCUUCCAACAGAUUCAGUGAUACAUCAUACAUCGGAUAAUUUCCUAUCAAUUUGUAGCAAUUUGCAAGUUCGUAAAUAAUUUAUUGCGAAAUCUCAAUUCAACGGUUGCAAAUUCAGUCGAAAUCAGAUUAUAGAUUUGUUUUUGAAUUAUUCAAUUAAAACUUUUAUGAUGCUGGAGUUAGAAUUUUGAAAGUAUAGUCAUGUUGAUUUCCU
Chenopodium quinoa (quinoa) is the source of this 403-nucleotide long non-coding RNA. RefSeq lists it as uncharacterized. The transcript has 2 exons. Lineage: Eukaryota; Viridiplantae; Streptophyta; Magnoliopsida; Caryophyllales; Amaranthaceae. The record is from RefSeq and is a predicted model, not a curated record.